CCUACGGGAGGCAGCAGUUUCGAAUCAUUCACAAUGGGCGAAAGCCUGAUGGUGCCACGCCGCGUGAGGGAUGAAGGUCUACGGAUUGUAAACCUCUGUCCUAGAAGAGAUGCCAAGUUCUAACACAGCUUGGUUUGACUGAACCCGCAGAGUAAGCAGUGGCUAACUCCGUGCCAGCAGCCGCG
This 185-nucleotide ribosomal RNA is filed under the name uncultured bacterium. RNAcentral describes it as "partial 16S ribosomal RNA". It matches the Rfam family "Bacterial small subunit ribosomal RNA", at positions 338 to 519 of the family's 1533-position model. The record is from RNAcentral.